Molecule: long non-coding RNA, 3780 nt
Organism: Gorilla gorilla gorilla (western lowland gorilla)
Lineage: Eukaryota; Metazoa; Chordata; Mammalia; Primates; Hominidae
Exons: 2
Source: RefSeq, a predicted model, not a curated record
CAGAGCAAGACUCUGUCUCAAAAAAAAAAAAAAAUUAUAAUGUUUUAAGAAAGUUUCAAAGCUCUCCUGGGCCAUGUGCAGCCUGCAAGCCGUGGGUUGGACAAGGUUGAGAUAGUCCAAAUCUCUUCAGACUGUAUUUUACAUAGAGUGGAAGGCAUAGCCCUGGGAGGAAAACCUCACAUGUAUAUUGUUGCCCAUUCCAUGUAAAUGCAAACUUUUUUCUGACUCUUUUUCUUUUUCUGAUUAGGAUAAAAAAGAACACAUUUGCCAAAUCAGUGGUUGUAUAAUAUGUUCCCGAGGCCAAAGUAAUCUGCUGUAGCAAAGAUACUACAUCUUACAUAAUGGCUGUAAUCGGGGCUAUAGUACUUGGUUGAACUCAUGGCAGUCUACAGUCACCUUCCAGGAUCAUCUGGUUUCUGUAAGGUCAAGAAUGGUGAAUUAAACAGAUAUAUGAUAGAAACCACCAUCCCUGUAUCCUUUAUAUCCUAAGGAUGGAACUAAUUUCUGCUGUACCUACUCUCAACACUUUUCUUUGUUGUCCCCCAGGAGUAAACCAAUCCUGGUUAUGAACUCAGAGACUGGGAAAUGACCACUGAGUGGCUCCAAGGACCCAAUGGCUGCACUGUAAGCCAGGCCCAAGACAGGAUUUCACUUACAACCUGGCCCCAUGUGCUUCCCGCACUCUUAACAAGGAGAGGUUAUGAUGGUGCUUCAGGCCUCCAGCAUCAUUGUCAACACAGACCCUACAUCCAACAGACCCUGAUAUGUCUAGAUGGUCUUACUCUGUUGCCCAGGCUGAAGUGCAGUGGCACGAUCUCGGCUCACUAUAACCUUUGCCUCCCGGAUUCAAGCAAUUCUCCUGCCUCAGCCUCCCAAGUAGCUGGGACUACAGGUAUGUGCCAUCACGCCUGACUAAUUUUUGUAUUUUUAGCAGAGAUGGGGUUUCGCCAUGUUGGCCAGGCUGGUCUCAAACUCCUAACCUUAGGUGAUCCACCCGCCUUGGCCUCCCAAAGUGCUGGGAUUACAGGCAUGAGCCAUUGCACCUGGCCCCAUAACCUGGAUUUUAAUGCUUGUUACUGGCCCUAAGUUGUUUAUUAUCCUGUAGCACAUCCAUGGAGCUUGGCAAUAGCCACCAAUUCCGUCAUCCUCAUAGCUACUACUCCCUCCGUACAUCUCAAGUACCUGGCACAUUGUGCCCUUAGAGUAUCCAGUUCUACUGGUACAUUCUCCCAAUUUGCUGCCAUUUGUCUGUGCUCUGCCCACCUCCACUAAUGGGAUCCUUAUCAUCAGAUGGGUGGUGAUCCAGUUCCAAACCCCAUCUUACCAUCUCCUUUCUCAUCUACUUUGGUAGCAACUGUGGAAGACCAGAUUCUCAAGAAGGAGAUGCUGAGAUAGAGUUUGGGACGCAAAAUGUUUAUUAAGGACCCAUACCUGUGAAAGGAAGGAAGAGAAAGCAGGACUGGGCAGAGGGAAAGUCAACCUGUGCUGCAGGCUUGACCAAGCUCAGCCGAUCAGCAGGUCACUCUAGAAUGAGAAGUGCUCAUCAGGGCUUUCCAACAUCAAGUUUAAAUGGCUGGACCUUUAUACCUCUGCCUUGCUCAGUCACCAAAUGUGGGCUACCCCAGGAAGGGCAUGACCUCAGGUGAGGCAGCCCUGCAGCUGAAGCAGGCUCUGAAGGAACUGAAAGCUGGUAUUGUCUGCUGCCCUCUCUCUGCAGCUAGGCAGCAUGUCCUUUCUUGAAGGUGAUCUGGGCAACACAUCACCAUGUGUCUCACAAUGACAUACAGACAUGAAGGGACAUAAAUCCUAAGUAUACAAUUUGGUGAACUCACCCAGCUCAAAAAGUAGAAAUUAUCUGCAUCACAGAACCCCCAUUUAUUCCUCUUCUCAGUCAAUCUCUCUUCCCAAGGUAACCACUAUCCUUCUUCUAUCACCAUAGACUCAUUUACCUGCUUUUUAAAUUUUUAACUGUGGUCAAAUACACAUAAUAUAAAACUUACCAUGUGAGCCAUUUUUAAGUGUGCAGUGCAGCCGUGUGAAAUACAUUCACAUUGUUGUGCAACUAAUCUCCAAAACUCUUCAUCUUGCAAAACUAAAACUCUGUACCCAUUAAACAAAUCCCCAUUAUCUUCAUUAUCUUUUCCCAAGCCUUUACUAACUACCAUUCUACCAUUCUACUUCCUUUUUUUUUCUUUUCUUUCCUUUUUUUUUUUUUUUUUUUUUUUUUUUUUGAGAGAGAGUCUCGUUCUGUCGCCCAGGCUGGAGUGUAGUGGUGUAAUCUCAGCUCACUGCAACCUCCGCCUCCCGUGUUCAAGUGAUUCUCCUGUCUCAGCCUCCCGAGUAGCUGGGACUACAGGUGCCUGCCACCAUGCCCAGCUAAUCUUUGUAUUUUUAGUACAGACAGGGUUUCACUUUGUUGGCCAGGCUGGUCUCGAACUCCCGACCUUGUGAUCUGCCCGCCUCGGCUUCCCAAAGUGCUGAGAUUACAGGCGUGAGCCACCACGCCUGGCCUACCAUUCUACUUUCUGUGUCUAUAAAUCUGACUGCUCAAAGUACUUCAUACAAAUGGAAUCAUACAGUAUGCAUCUUUCUGUGCCUGGCUUAUUUUACAUAGCCUAAUAUCCUUAAGUUUCAGCCGUGGUGUAGCAUGUGACAGGAUUUCCUUCCUUUUCAAGGCCGACUAAUAUUCUGCUGCAUCUUGCUGGGCACAGUGGCUCAUGCCUGAAAUCCGAGCACUUUGGGAGCUUGAGGUGGGUGAAUCACUUGAGGUCAGGAGUUUGAGACCAGCCUGGCCAACAUGGUGAAACCCCAUCUCUACUAAAAAUACAAAAUUAGCCAGGUGUGGUGGCACAUGUCUGUAAUCCCAGCUAUUUAGGAAGGUGAGGCAGGAGAAUGGUUUAAAUCCAGGAGAUGGAGGCUGCAGUGAGCUGAGAUGGCACCAUUGCACUCCAGCCUGGAAAACAAGGGCAAAACUACGUCUCUAAAAAAAAAUAAUAAAAGAAUUCCACUGUAUCUAUAUGCCACAUUUUGUUUAUCCAUACAUUCAUCAAUGGACACUUGGGUUACUUCCACCUUUUGGUUAGUAUAAAUAAUACUGCUAUGAACACAAGUAGAUUGUUUACCUGCUUUUGAGCUUUUCAUAUAAAUGAAAUGAAUUCUACCAUGUGUAUUAUUUUAUGUUUGGUUUCUUUCCUUCAACAUUGUUUGUGAAAUUCAUCCAUCUUAUCGCAUGCAGCAAUAGUUUACUUUUCUCAUUGAUAUAUAGUAGUUCAUUGUAUAAUCACAUCCCAAUCUGUUUAUUCCAUCUACCAGUGAUGGACAUUUAGGUUGUUUCCAGGUUGUAUCUGUUAUGAAUAGUGCUGCUAUAAACAUUCUUGUUGGUGUCUUUUAUUAUACGCAUGUAUGCAUUUCUGGAUGUAAACACCUAGGAGUUAAAUUGCUGGGUCAUAGAUUAUGUUUGUUUAGUUUUACUAGACACUGCCAAAUAGUUUUCCAAGAUGACUAUACCAAUUUACCUCCUCCGGAACACUGAAUGAGCAUUCCAGUUGUUUGGUAUCCUCAAUAACACUUGAUGUCAUCGGUUAUUUUAAUUUUAGUAAUUCUCAUUAAUGUAAAGUGGUAUCUCAUUGUGGUUUUAAUUUGUAUUUCCCUAAUGACUAAUGAGGUUGAAAGACUUCUUAUGUUUAUCAGUCAAUUGGAUGUGAAGUGCUUGUUCAUGUUUUCUGUGAAGUGCUUGUUCAUGUUUCUUGCCCUUAAUUUAGUUGUCUGUUUUUUUCCUUA